AUUGAACGCUGGCGGCAUGCCUAACACAUGCAAGUCGAAACGGCAGCACGGCAGUAGCAAUACUGUGGGUGGCGAGUGGCGGACGGGUGAGGAAUACGUCGGAAUCUGCCCAAUCGUGGGGGAUAACUAACCGAAAGGUUAGCUAAUACCGCAUACGACCGAGAGGUGAAAAGCGGGGGGACCGCAAGGCCUCGCGCGAUUGGAUGAGCCGACGUCGGAUUAGCUUGUUGGUGGGGUAAAGGCCUACCAAGGCAACGAUCCGUAGCUGGUCUGAGAGGAUGAAUCAGCCACACUGGAACUGAGACACGGUCCAGACUCCUACGGGAGGCAGCAGUGGGGAA
This 341-nucleotide ribosomal RNA is filed under the name uncultured bacterium. Its description in RNAcentral is "bacterial SSU rRNA". It matches the Rfam family "Bacterial small subunit ribosomal RNA", at positions 29 to 361 of the family's 1533-position model. The record is from RNAcentral.